This 541-nucleotide ribosomal RNA is filed under the name uncultured archaeon. RNAcentral describes it as "bacterial SSU rRNA". It matches the Rfam family "Archaeal small subunit ribosomal RNA", at positions 457 to 997 of the family's 1478-position model. The record is from RNAcentral.
GGCAGCAGCCGCGGUAAUACCGGCGGCUCGAGUGGUGGCCACUUUAUUGGGCUUAAAGCGUUCGUAGCUGGGUUGUUAAGUCUCUUGGGAAAUCCGGCGGCUCAACCGUCGGGCGUCUAAGAGAUACUGGCGAUCUUGGAACCGGGAGAGGUGAGGGGUACUUCGGGGGUAGGAGUGAAAUCCUGUAAUCCUCGAGGGACCACCUGUGGCGAAGGCGCCUCACCAGAACGGCUUCGACAGUGAGGGACGAAAGCUGGGGGAGCAAACCGGAUUAGAUACCCGGGUAGUCCCAGCCGUAAACGAUGUGCGUUAGGUGUAUCGACGACCACGAGUCGUCGAGGUGCCGAAGGGAAACCGUGAAACGUACCGCCUGGGAAGUACGGUCGCAAGGCUGAAACUUAAAGGAAUUGGCGGGGGAGCACCACAACAGGUGGAGCCUGCCGGUUUAAUUGGACUCAACGCCGGAAAUCUCACCGGAUAAGACAGCGGAAUGAUUGCCGGGCUGAAGACUCUGCAUGACUAGCUGAGUAGAGGUGCAUGG